Molecule: ribosomal RNA, 432 nt
Filed under: uncultured bacterium
Lineage: Bacteria
Description: bacterial SSU rRNA
Rfam family: Bacterial small subunit ribosomal RNA
Source: RNAcentral
UGGCGGACGGGUGAGUAAUAUAUCGGAACGUGCCCAGUAGUGGGGGAUAGCCCGGCGAAAGCCGGAUUAAUACCGCAUGAGACCUGAGGGUGAAAGCGGGGGAUCGCAAGACCUCGCGCUAUUGGAGCGGCCGAUAUCAGAUUAGCUAGUUGGUGGGGUAAAGGCCUACCAAGGCAACGAUCUGUAGUUGGUCUGAGAGGACGACCAGCCACACUGGGACUGAGACACGGCCCAGACUCCUACGGGAGGCAGCAGUGGGGAAUUUUGGACAAUGGGCGCAAGCCUGAUCCAGCAGUGCCGUGUGCAGGAAGAAGGCCUUCGGGUUGUAAACUGCUUUUGUCAGGGAAGAAAUCUUCUGGGUUAAUACCUCGGGAGGAUGACGGUACCUGAAGAAUAAGCACCGGCUAACUACGUGCCAGCAGCCGCGGUAAU